RNAcentral lists this ribosomal RNA (1489 nucleotides) under uncultured bacterium. RNAcentral's name for it is "bacterial SSU rRNA". It matches the Rfam family "Bacterial small subunit ribosomal RNA". The record is from RNAcentral.
AGAGUUUGAUCCUGGCUCAGGAUGAACGCUAGCGACAGGCUUAACACAUGCAAGUCGAGGGGCAGCACGGUGUAGCAAUACACCGGUGGCGACCGGCGCACGGGUGAGUAACACGUGUGCAACCAACCCCGUACCGGGAGAUAACCCGCGGAAACGUGGACUAACACCCCAUAACACCUUUCCCCCGCAUGAGGGCGAGGUUAAAACCCCGGUGGUACGGGACGGGCACGCGCGACAUUAGGUAGUUGGCAGGGUAACGGCCCACCAAGCCGACGAUGUCUAGGGGUUCUGAGAGGAAGGUCCCCCACACUGGAACUGAGACACGGUCCAGACUCCUACGGGAGGCAGCAGUGAGGAAUAUUGGUCAAUGGGCGAGAGCCUGAACCAGCCAAGUCGCGUGAGGGAAGAAUGGUCUAUGGCCUGUAAACCUCUUUUGUCAAGGAAGAAUAAGCGGCACGAGUGCCACCUUGCCAGUACUUGACGAAUAAGCAUCGGCUAACUCCGUGCCAGCAGCCGCGGUAAUACGGGGGAUGCGAGCGUUAUCCGGAUUUAUUGGGUUUAAAGGGCGCGUAGGCGGGACGACAAGUCAGCGGUAAAAGACUGCAGCUAAACUGUAGCACGCCGUUGAAACUGUCGACCUGGAGACGAGACGAGGGAGGCGGAACAAGUGAAGUAGCGGUGAAAUGCAUAGAUAUCACUUGGAACCCCGAUAGCGAAGGCAGCUUCCCAGGCUCGAUCUGACGCUGAUGCUCGAAAGUGUGGGUAUCAAACAGGAUUAGAUACCCUGGUAGUCCACACAGUAAACGAUGAAUACUCGCUGUUUGCGAUAUACAGUAAGCGGCCAAGCGAAAGCAUUAAGUAUUCCACCUGGGGAGUACGCCGGCAACGGUGAAACUCAAAGGAAUUGACGGGGGCCCGCACAAGCGGAGGAACAUGUGGUUUAAUUCGAUGAUACGCGAGGAACCUUACCCGGGCUUAAAUUGCAGUGGAAUGAUGUGGAAACAUGUCAGUGAGCAAUCACCGCUGUGAAGGUGCUGCAUGGUUGUCGUCAGCUCGUGCCGUGAGGUGUCGGCUUAAGUGCCAUAACGAGCGCAACCCUUAUCUUCAGUUACUAACAGGUCAUGCUGAGGACUCUGGAGAGACUGCCGUCGUAAGAUGUGAGGAAGGUGGGGAUGACGUCAAAUCAGCACGGCCCUUACGUCCGGGGCUGCACACGUGUUACAAUGGGGGGUACAGAAGGCAGCUAGCGGGUGACCGUAUGCUAAUCCCAAAAUCCUCUCUCAGUUCGGAUCGAAGUCUGCAACCCGACUUCGUGAAGCUGGAUUCGCUAGUAAUCGCGCAUCAGCCACGGCGCGGUGAAUACGUUCCCGGGCCUUGUACACACCGCCCGUCAAGCCAUGGGAGCCGGGGGUACCUGAAGUACGUAACCGCAAGGAUCGUCCUAGGGUAAAACUGGUGACUGGGGCUAAGUCGUAACAAGGUAGCCGUA